RNAcentral lists this long non-coding RNA (1390 nucleotides) under Bos indicus x Bos taurus (hybrid cattle). RNAcentral describes it as "lncRNA (ENSBIXG00005028519.1)". The record is from RNAcentral. Lineage: Eukaryota; Metazoa; Chordata; Mammalia; Artiodactyla; Bovidae.
AUGCAAAGACAAUUCAAGAGCCCUGAGGGAGAUGGUAGAGCUAAAUGGGAUGCUUUCUGCAGGGCUGGUGUGAAUUCUACCAUAGGGAAGAUUCUGGAAUUCCUUUGCAGUGCUGGCCAGGUAAACAAAAAGGCUAUAUGCUGUCAUGCAGGAACACAACGGGGCGAGCUUAAACCCUCAAAGGGACAGCCCUCCCUGGCUGCAGAAUCAAAGCCAGAGCUAUUUCUAAAGGAGUUCCUAAGUGUUGAAAAGCUAUCCUCCUACUUCAAGUAUCCUGUUGCAUCCAGACUUCCUGAGACUCCCCAACAUCUGAAGUUCCUGGAAGAUGGUGUGUCCCAGCCAGUGGAAUGUGCUUUCUGUGGCACAGUCGAUAUCUGUUCUGGCCAAUGAAACCCUUUAAAGAAGCUCUGAUGCUUUUGUGCAUGAAGCAUCCCUUACAAUUAGAGACGCACGCUCUGCCAUCUUGGCUCUUCCUCUGGCAGCUGCGCCCCGAUCUGUUCAGGUUGGGGAGACCUUUCCUGGCCUUCCUCAAAACCAUCAUUUGUGCAGCGUCCCCGGGGCUACGAACAGCAAGGAAAUGAAGGAAAGCAAGCAACAUCUGGUGUUAAACAAAUACCAUCAUCUUACAAAUGUCUCGUCUCUGGGAUAAUGCUUCUUGCGUAUGCAGAGCAAAGAGGGAUGUCAACACCAGGACCCAAUACUAGAGAAGAAACAGCUGAAAGGCACUCAUAGCCCUUCCCUACUGUGUGUCCAGCAAAAUUCCAUUUUGGAAAACAAGAAAAGGUGCUGACGUUCAUAGCUUUUUCUCACACUAGACCGAAAACCCACCUCCUGCUCUCUGUUCUGAUGAGCUGAAUCCUGCAAACAUGCGUCGUGACCGUGGGUCAGUGUCUGGGGUGGUACCCAGCAAAGGGUGAGCUAGCGUGGACUCCAUGAGCAUCUUCUGUCUUGCUCCCUUGCCCCCCAGCCGAGACCAUUCCUGUCUGUGCUGCUGCAGGUGCAUUUGGGAGUUCCUGAGACAUUCUCAAGCAUCAUCCAGAGAAUUCUGCCUGUAAAUGGCUAAGACAGAUGUUUUAUGUCUUGCUUCAUUAUUAUGUGUGUUAUACCCCAAAGAAGAAAAACGUUAAUGAAUCAUUUUGUAACACUUAAGAGACUCCUGUUGAGCUGUGAUGGGAAUGGCCUGGAGCCAAAUGGCGAUGGAGACCUUUGUCCUUGGCACCCACUUGCUCAGUCUUCUCUCCUCUUAGCAUGAUUUUUUUCUCUCUCAAGUGAAAUCCAUCACCUAGCUUCACGUGAGGCAACCAGGCACCUCGCGCUGACCCAGGCCAUCAAGGAUCCUCCUUGUCAGAUCCCAGACAAGGCUGCUACCACCAGAUGUUGUAUCCUGUGA